UCACCUUACUACCAUAAAUACAUGAUUAUAGAUAGGGUUUUAGGGAGACUAGAGAUAAUUAAGAUGGCUAAAAUUUAAUCUAGGGUGUUUUUGCAAUAUUUUAAUGUGGGGAGAGCUACUUUAUAGCAGUUUUCUUCUCAUUUCAAUUAAAUUUAUGAAUAUUUCCUACAAUCACACACCUUUUUCACAUAAUUUCAUGUUAAUUAAUUAAUCCAUCACAAAAUUAUUUUAUUUUAAUUUAUUUUUUUUGUUAUUGUCAUUCCAAGUCUUCCAAAGUGUCAAAGGAGCUAUUGAAAUCCAAGAAAGAUCAUCUGAAAGGUAAGGUUCUGAUUG
RNAcentral lists this unclassified non-coding RNA (333 nucleotides) under Hevea brasiliensis (rubber tree). Lineage: Eukaryota; Viridiplantae; Streptophyta; Magnoliopsida; Malpighiales; Euphorbiaceae. The record is from RNAcentral.